This 465-nucleotide ribosomal RNA is filed under the name uncultured bacterium. RNAcentral describes it as "partial 16S ribosomal RNA". It matches the Rfam family "Bacterial small subunit ribosomal RNA", at positions 28 to 507 of the family's 1533-position model. The record is from RNAcentral.
GACGAACGCUGGCGGCGUGCUUAACACAUGCAAGUCGAGCGGUAAGGCCCCUUCGGGGGUACACGAGCGGCGAACGGGUGAGUAACACGUGAGCAAUCUGCCCAUCACAUCGGGAUAACUCCGGGAAACCGAAGCUAAUACCGAAUACGACCACCUCCGGCAUCGGAUGGUGGUGGAAAGUUCCGGCGGUGAUGGAUGAGCUCGCGGCCUAUCAGCUUGUUGGUGGGGUAACGGCCCACCAAGGCUUCGACGGGUAGCCGGCCUGAGAGGGUGACCGGCCACACUGGGACUGAGAGACGGCCCAGACUCCAACGGGAGGCAGCAGUGGGGAAUAUUGGACAAUGGGCGAAAGCCUGAUCCAGCAACGCCGCGUGAGGGAUGACGGCCUUCGGGUUGUAAACCUCUUUCAGCAGGGACGAAGCGCAAGUGACGGUACCUGCAGAAGAAGCACCGGCCAACUACGUG